RNAcentral lists this ribosomal RNA (402 nucleotides) under Staphylococcus aureus. Its description in RNAcentral is "bacterial SSU rRNA". It matches the Rfam family "Bacterial small subunit ribosomal RNA", at positions 220 to 614 of the family's 1533-position model. The record is from RNAcentral. Lineage: Bacteria; Bacillati; Bacillota; Bacilli; Caryophanales; Staphylococcaceae.
UAUAGAUGGAUCCGCGCUGCAUUAGCUAGUUGGUAAGGUAACGGCUUACCAAGGCAACGAUGCAUAGCCGACCUGAGAGGGUGAUCGGCCACACUGGAACUGAGACACGGUCCAGACUCCUACGGGAGGCAGCAGUAGGGAAUCUUCCGCAAUGGGCGAAAGCCUGACGGAGCAACGCCGCGUGAGUGAUGAAGGUCUUCGGAUCGUAAAACUCUGUUAUUAGGGAAGAACAUAUGUGUAAGUAACUGUGCACAUCUUGACGGUACCUAAUCAGAAAGCCACGGCUAACUACGUGCCAGCAGCCGCGGUAAUACGUAGGUGGCAAGCGUUAUCCGGAAUUAUUGGGCGUAAAGCGCGCGUAGGCGGUUUUUUAAGUCUGAUGUGAAAGCCCACGGCUCAACC